AGGUGCAAUCAUAUUAAGACUAAUGCGUCAGAUUCCAUCAGAAUCUCACAGUUAAGCAUGCUUGGACGAAAGUGGUAUUAGGAUGGGUGACCUUUUAAAAAGUCUUUGUGUUGCACCUC
RNAcentral lists this ribosomal RNA (119 nucleotides) under Medicago truncatula (barrel medic). The record is from RNAcentral. Lineage: Eukaryota; Viridiplantae; Streptophyta; Magnoliopsida; Fabales; Fabaceae.